GUUUGAAAUCAGGAGAUAAAAGACUUGCUGGGGGGGCUAAAGGGAUUGGACACGCUGAGCAGGAGACGAGCAGAACUAGUUGUUAAAACUUGACCUACAUCGCUACUGAUUUGUUUGAAAUAAGAGACCGGAAUUAGCGGCCAUGGCGGACGAUACAGACUCGAUGAAGCUACCUGUGGGCCAGACAUGUGAACACAAGUCGAACAUCGGUGAGUGAAGGAUGGAUGCUGUGCUGUGGAGUUACUCAAGCUCCUCUCCCCGCUCCCUCAAGCAUCACUCUCCGCUUACUGACCUGGAGUCCAGCUCUUUCAUUUCUCAAGCCUGAAAAUGGGAGAGUUCAAGGACGUGGUUAGACAGGAUGUUCGAGCCACUGUGAACAAGCCCGAAGUUUUCUCUUGAAAAUGGGUGGAAUUACCUGAGAGCCGGCACACUCAAACCCAGAAAACCCUGCCAGGCCAGCUGCAGCAGCCACUGGGCAAGUUGCAGGUCACAACCAAGGUUCAGCCUGGACCUUCCUCUGCUGCACAUGUCUCCUGCCCUUGAUCCCUGAGCUGCUGCAGUGCGACCUGAACUAUUCCCAUCCGAUGCUGGAUACAACUCCAGUAUGUGUGUUUGCCCUAAACGAUUUUGGGGACUUUGGAGGUCCUAAACCUUCAUGUUAAGUAGUAGGAGGACUUUCUGUUGGUGUUGAAUUAAAAAUAAAUAAAUAAAAUGAAAUAAACUGAAGAGUGGAGUUGGGACUUUAUGAAAAUACACAUAAUACAAUUAAGUUUUUGGCAUCUUUCUGUUAAAUAUUGGAAUUGAUCUGACUUUUUCUAGUAGUUCAGUGUUUUCUUUUUGUCAAACCAGAAGUAUCUGUGGAGCAUGUGGACCUCAUUCACCAUGGAAACGUACAGAGUUAAACAAUCGCCUAUAAGAAUAAAUAUAGGAUUUUUCCAAUCAAAAAUCAUGAUUAAACUUUUAAUCCCGGAAACAAGAAGAAAUUUGACGACAGUGGCAAGGAAAAUUCCCUUUAAUGGCUCUGCGUGGGCAGCCGUCUGCCUCAGGCGGUUGGGUUGAGAGGGGGAGAGUGGAGAAAGAGAUGACUUAUUCCCAGUGAUGACCUAGUCUCUUUGUAGGCAGUGCCUUCCUACUGCUCAUCAUCCUGACCCUGUUAUGAUGGUCAUAUCCUAGGUUCUGUCAGGGUACCUGAAAACCAGCAUGCAGGCUCUUACACAGGUAGACGAGGUGCUGGAGCUGAGUAGCAUGUCAGGAGUGAUGGUGAGCAAUGUCAGUAGAGCGGCAGCUGCCUGUCAUCCACAGCAUGAACACUGAUGACCUUGGUGUAACUCUGAGAAGACAUCUCAAAGCCCUGCAGCUCUGUUGUGAACUUUUUACUGGUGAGCAACACAAGUGAAAGUCCAGUUUGGUGCAUGUCUUCAGAUAAGUUUGGGCCAAAAAAAUAACACAGUCCUUCUUAUACUUUAGUAAAUAUGGACAAACUGUCAUAUACACUAAUCAGGCACAAUUUUAAAACCACUGACAGGUGAAGUGAAUAACACUGAUUAUCUUCUUACAGCGGUACCUGUCAAGUUGUGGGGCCUAUUAGGCAGCAAGUGAACAGUCAGUUCUUGAAGUUGAUGUGUUAGAAGCAGGAAAAAUGGGCAAGUGUGAGGAUCUGAGCGACUUUGACAAGGGGUAAAUUGUGACGGUUAGACGACUGGGUCAGACCAGAGUCAGAUCCAUGGAGGCUCCACCUCGAAAAUUAAGACUUGAGGGUCUGAUGCUAACGUCUAGGUGCCUGAUAACACAGGACACCUUGAGAGGCCUUGUGGAGUCCGUGUUUCGAUGGUUCAGAGCUGUUUUGGCAGCACGAGGGGGACCUACACAGUGUCAGGCAGGUGGGUUUAAUGUUGGGGCUGAUGGGUGUAUUUCUAACGUCCUUGUCAGAGCAGCCAACUGUUCAGUAAUCCUUUGAGUCGGGCAGUUUUGCCGUGGUGACUGGAAUGAGUUGACGGUGUCUGUGGAUUCCUCUGAAGGGGUUGCAGUUUUUUAUGAUUUCCUUGCAUCAUCAGAGGCCACAGCUCAUCAUAAAUAUCUUCAUGUUCUCUGUGGCAUUGUCAGCCAGCAGUGGGUCUCAGGCUUGAUAAUGUGUUUGUUUUGUUAAAGCUGGUGCUGACAUAAAGUCCGUAUAAUUGUUAUUUACUGAAGCAGUAAUAAAGGAAACAACAUCUUUUCCAAAAAAAAUCCCUGGGAGACCAUCUCUGGCGUGACCCUUAUUAAACGGAUCUGUAUCAUGAAGAAUCGGUAAAA
Molecule: long non-coding RNA, 2292 nt
Organism: Toxotes jaculatrix (banded archerfish)
Lineage: Eukaryota; Metazoa; Chordata; Actinopteri; Toxotidae
Exons: 6
Source: RefSeq, a predicted model, not a curated record